Long non-coding RNA from Carcharodon carcharias (great white shark), 496 nucleotides. RefSeq lists it as uncharacterized. The transcript has 3 exons. The record is from RefSeq and is a predicted model, not a curated record. Lineage: Eukaryota; Metazoa; Chordata; Chondrichthyes; Lamniformes; Lamnidae.
CCUUCCCCGCUUCUGCAGCCGGUUCCCCACCGAUCACAAGCCCAUAAAACUCGGCUCCGAUUCAGCAAACGGCACAAGAUCGAGAAGCGCUGAUUGGGUGACGGCUCGAAGCUGAAGAAGUUCCUGAAAUGUCUGACUCGAAGCCCUGUGUGUGCCUGGAUGGAUCCUGCUCCUGUGAAAAUACCUGCAGGUGCUCCGACCGCCGAUGUCCCAGCAGCAAAGCUGGACGCUGCCGGAAAAGUUGCUGCUCUUGCUGUCCUGCAGGAUGUACAAACUGCGCCAAUGGCUGUGUGUGUAAAGGGAGUCCCUCUGACAAAUGUAGCUGCUGUUCCUGAACAACAGGCCCUUCAGGGACAAUAGAUGAAAUAUUGUCCAUAUGUACUGUAUUCCACAGGCUGCAUGUUCUCAGUGUCUAUAUCCUGAUGAGUUGUGUCUAUGAGAAGUAAUUGAAAUGAAUGAAUUAUUUUUGAAAUGAUCAUUUUUGUAUCAGAUAAUA